RNAcentral lists this ribosomal RNA (483 nucleotides) under uncultured bacterium. RNAcentral's name for it is "partial 16S ribosomal RNA". It matches the Rfam family "Bacterial small subunit ribosomal RNA", at positions 30 to 507 of the family's 1533-position model. The record is from RNAcentral.
AUUGAACGCUGCGGCAGGCCUCACACAUGCAAGUCGCGCGGAUGAAGGGAGCUUGCUCCUGGAUUCAGCGGCGGACGGGUGAGUAAUGCCUAGGAAUCUGCCUGGUAGUGGGGGAUAACGUCCGGAAACGGGCGCUAAUACCGCAUACGUCCUGAGGGAGAAAGUGGGGGAUCUUCGGACCUCACGCUAUCAGAUGAGCCUAGGUCGGAUUAGCUAGUUGGUGGGGUAAAGGCCUACCAAGGCGACGAUCCGUAACUGGUCUGAGAGGAUGAUCAGUCACACUGGAACUGAGACACGGUCCAGACUCCUACGGGAGGCAGCAGUGGGGAAUAUUGGACAAUGGGCGAAAGCCUGAUCCAGCCAUGCCGCGUGUGUGAAGAAGGUCUUCGGAUUGUAAAGCACUUUAAGUUGGGAGGAAGGGCAGUAAGUUAAUACCUUGCUGUUUUGACGUUACCAACAGAAUAAGCACCGGCUAACUUCGUG